RNAcentral lists this ribosomal RNA (452 nucleotides) under uncultured Synergistaceae bacterium. Its description in RNAcentral is "bacterial SSU rRNA". It matches the Rfam family "Bacterial small subunit ribosomal RNA", at positions 927 to 1382 of the family's 1533-position model. Lineage: Bacteria; Thermotogati; Synergistota; Synergistia; Synergistales; Synergistaceae. The record is from RNAcentral.
AAGCGGUGGAGCUACGUGGUUUAAUUCGAUAGCAAACCGAAGAACCUUACCUGGUUUGACAUGUGCGUGUUACUGAGGUGAAAGCCGAGGGACCAUAUCUUCGGAUGUGGAGCGUACACAGGUGCUGCAUGGCUGUCGUCAGCUCGUGUCGUGAGAUGUUCGGUUAAGUCCGCUAACGAGCGCAACCCUCGCUGUGUGUUACAAGUGUCACACGGUACUGCCGAUAUUAAGUCGGAGGAAGGUGGGGAUGACGUCAAGUCAGCAUGACCUUUAUAUCCAGGGCUACACACACGCUACAAUGGCCAGUACAAUGGGUUGCCAAGCCGCGAGGCGGAGCCAAUCCUAAAAAGCUGGCCUCAGUUCAGAUUGCAGUCUGCAACUCGACUGCAUGAAGUUGGAGUUGCUAGUAACCGCAGGUCAGCAAUACUGCGGUGAAUACGUUCCCGGGUCUU